Molecule: long non-coding RNA, 110 nt
Organism: Diprion similis
Lineage: Eukaryota; Metazoa; Arthropoda; Insecta; Hymenoptera; Diprionidae
Exons: 3
Source: RefSeq, a predicted model, not a curated record
CCUCGACUCCUUAUAUUGCAGUUAGGAACGUUAUAGUAUAACGAUUCGUGCUGAGGAAAUCCGUUACUUCGUGAUUUUGGAACUGUUUGAAAUUCGGUAGACCGCAAUAA